RNAcentral lists this ribosomal RNA (918 nucleotides) under Candidatus Phytoplasma asteris-related phytoplasma. RNAcentral describes it as "bacterial SSU rRNA". It matches the Rfam family "Bacterial small subunit ribosomal RNA", at positions 218 to 1145 of the family's 1533-position model. Lineage: Bacteria; Bacillati; Mycoplasmatota; Mollicutes; Acholeplasmatales; Acholeplasmataceae. The record is from RNAcentral.
CUUAGGGAGGAGCUUGCGUCACAUUAGUUAGUUGGUGGGGUAAAGGCCUACCAAGACUAUGAUGUGUAGCCGGGCUGAGAGGUUGAACGGCCACAUUGGGACUGAGACACGGCCCAAACUCCUACGGGAGGCAGCAGUAGGGAAUUUUCGGCAAUGGAGGAAACUCUGACCGAGCAACGCCGCGUGAACGAUGAAGUAUUUCGGUACGUAAAGUUCUUUUAUUAGGGAAGAAUAAAUGAUGGAAAAAUCAUUCUGACGGUACCUAAUGAAUAAGCCCCGGCUAACUAUGUGCCAGCAGCCGCGGUAAUACAUAGGGGGCAAGCGUUAUCCGGAAUUAUUGGGCGUAAAGGGUGCGUAGGCUGUUAAAUAAGUUUAUGGUCUAAGUGCAAUGCUCAACAUUGUGAUGCUAUAAAAACUGUUUAGCUAGAGUAAGAUAGAGGCAAGUGGAAUUCCAUGUGUAGUGGUAAAAUGCGUAAAUAUAUGGAGGAACACCAGUAGCGAAGGCGGCUUGCUGGGUCUUUACUGACGCUGAGGCACGAAAGCGUGGGGAGCAAACAGGAUUAGAUACCCUGGUAGUCCACGCCGUAAACGAUGAGUACUAAACGUUGGGUAAAACCAGUGUUGAAGUUAACACAUUAAGUACUCCGCCUGAGUAGUACGUACGCAAGUAUGAAACUUAAAGGAAUUGACGGGACUCCGCACAAGCGGUGGAUCAUGUUGUUUAAUUCGAAGGUACCCGAAAAACCUCACCAGGUCUUGACAUGCUUCUGCAAAGCUGUAGAAACACAGUGGAGGUUAUCAGUUGCACAGGUGGUGCAUGGUUGUCGUCAGCUCGUGUCGUGAGAUGUUGGGUUAAGUCCCGCAACGAGCGCAACCCUUAUUGUUAGUUGCCNNCACGUAAUGGNGGGGACUUUAGCA